RNAcentral lists this long non-coding RNA (684 nucleotides) under Nicotiana tabacum (common tobacco). RNAcentral's name for it is "long non-coding RNA (NTAB_LNC004255)". Lineage: Eukaryota; Viridiplantae; Streptophyta; Magnoliopsida; Solanales; Solanaceae. The record is from RNAcentral.
AAUACGACCUAAGAACCAUAUUAUUCUCCCUGCCAGGAUCGUUCCUUAUUUUUUGCAUUUUUCGGCCAAACAACUAGAAUUCCGCGCGAUUCCCAUAUUUUUGAGUGUUAUAGCCCACGCCAUCCGAGGGGUCCCGGGACCUCCGGACCCCGAUCGCCUAAAAAUUUUCCGAACUAUCAAAUACGACCUAUUAAACCAUAGUAUCCGCCCCGCCAUGAUCGUUCCUCAUUUUUUGCGUUUUUCGGCUAAAAAACUAUAAUUCCGCCCGAUUACAAUAUUUUUGUGUGCUAUUGCCCACCCUUCCAAGUGGUUCCGGGACCCCCGGACCCCGAUCGCCUAUAAUUUUUCCGGGUCGUCAAAUACGACCUAAGGAACCAUAGUAACCGCCUUGCGAUCAUCGUUUCUCAUUUUUUGCAUUUUUCGGCCAAAAAACUAGAAUUACGCCCGAUUCCCAUAUUUUCGUGUGCUAUACCCACGCCUUCCAAGUGGUCCGGGGAGCCGCGGACCCCUAUCGCCUAAAAUUUUUCCGGACUAUCAAAUAAGACCUAAGGAACCAUAGUCACCUCCCAGCCAUGAUCGUUCCUAGUUUUUUCCGUUUUUCGGCCAAAUAACUAGAAUUCUGCGCGAUUCGCAUAUUUUCGUGUCCUAUAGCCCACGCCUUCCAAGUGAACCCGGGAACUCCGG